This 93-nucleotide transfer RNA is filed under the name Gemmatimonadota bacterium. RNAcentral's name for it is "tRNA-Ser". It matches the Rfam family "tRNA". From Rfam's summary of the family: Transfer RNA (tRNA) molecules are approximately 80 nucleotides in length. Their secondary structure includes four short double-helical elements and three loops (D, anti-codon, and T loops). Further hydrogen bonds mediate the characteristic L-shaped molecular structure. tRNAs have two regions of fundamental functional importance: the anti-codon, which is responsible for specific mRNA codon recognition, and the 3' end, to which the tRNAs corresponding amino acid is attached (by aminoacyl-tRNA synthetases). tRNAs cope with the degeneracy of the genetic code in two manners: having more than one tRNA (with a specific anti-codon) for a particular amino acid; and 'wobble' base-pairing, i.e. permitting non-standard base-pairing at the 3rd anti-codon position. The record is from RNAcentral. Lineage: Bacteria; Pseudomonadati; Gemmatimonadota.
GGAGAGGUGCUGGAGCUGGCUGAACAGGGCGGCCUGCUAAGCCGUUGUAGGGAUAAUUCCCUACCGAGGGUUCGAAUCCCUCCCUCUCCGCCA